RNAcentral lists this long non-coding RNA (5401 nucleotides) under Homo sapiens (human). Its description in RNAcentral is "HSALNT0035089". The record is from RNAcentral. Lineage: Eukaryota; Metazoa; Chordata; Mammalia; Primates; Hominidae.
GCGGAGGAGGGGCGCGUGGGCGGGGUCUGACGUCACGAGGACGCGGACGGCCAAUCGGAGAGCACGAUGCCUCCGCGGCGGCCCCCGCCCCCGGGCGCGCGGCCAGUCAGCCCUGCGGUGCGGUGGGCAUUGCCAGAGCAGGGCGCCCCCUGCAGGGACGCACCCGGGGCGGGGGCCAGGCUGGGGCGAGCCCCCCUUGGUUCUGGAGAGGAAAUGACAUACAGUUUGUGAAAGCAUAAAUAUUCGUGAAAAUAAGAAAAUUCAGGAAGGAAACAAAGCUUAAGGCAGUGAUUGAUAGGUUAUUUCUUGGACACAGCUGAACGUAUACUGUGCGCCUGCAACUUUCCGGUGGUUUCGGACCGGACUUCAGUGAAGCCAGUGAAGUCGGUCGACUUGCAGAACUUCCUUUCAGAGGGGCGUACACAGCACCGCGGCCGUGUGCCUGUGAUCUCCUUCUGAGUUUGAAAAAGAAGAUCCUAGACACCGAGCCAAAUAUGUUUGCAUAAACCGGGAGACUUGUGGCUCUAUUUUGUAACAGCUUGGCGCAGGGCAGCUGGUUUGGAGAUGUCUCUGUUCUUCCCUUGGUGGGGGUGCCGGAAAAAAUGUGCUGCCUGGGCGAUCGAGGUUGGGGCAAAAGCGUUGCAAAGGAAAAGGUGGGAGGACUCUACUUUCACAUUUCCCAAAAGAGUUUUACCAUAAGACUAUUUCUGGAUUGUUCUAACGUGAGGAUAUUGGGAGCAUUUUGAAAAUACUGGAGGAAAAGCUGUCACUGGGCGAUUUAAAUCCGGUAAGUUGGCCAAGGCAGAGCAGCUGCUGGGGUCAGCGACAGCUGACCCUUGCAGCUGAGUAUCUUGCCCUCUUAAUCUUGGAGAUCAGCCCAAGGCCCAUGUGUUACAGGAAAGGGGUCCCGAUCUAGACCCCAAGAGAGGGUUCUUCGAUCUCACGCAAGAAACAAUUCAGAGUAAGUCCACAGUGCAAAGUAAAAGCAAGUUUAUUAAGAAAGUAAAGUGGUGGCUGGGCACAGUGGCUCACGCGUAAUCCCAGCACUUUGGGAGGCUGAGACGGACAGAUCACCUGAUGUCAGGAGUUCAAGACCAGCUGGCCAACAUGGCAAAACCCCGUCUCUACUAGAAAUACAAAUAUUGGCCGGGCGUGGUGGCGCAAGCCUGUUGUCUCAGCUACUCACGGGGCUGAGGCAGGAGAAUCGCUUGAACCCGGGAGGCAGAGGCUACAGUGAGCCGAGAUCGCCACUGCACUCCAGCAGGGCAUUCCUGAAAAUAAGAGGAGGGACAUAUCCAACUAAGAAUGCUUGUCAAAUAGAGCACGCAGGGACCCUGAGCAACCAGGACUGUUGGCAUGACAAGCGGGCGAGCAGAGGAUGGGGGAGCCAGAAGAGAAGGUGCUGAAAGGAAGAGCUGAAAACAAGCUUGACCCAUCACUCAAAGUUGUCUAAUAGUCCUUGAAUCCAGAUGCCUCAUGGCCCUAGGAGGGCCAAACACACUCGGGGGUUGGAAAGGAAGCAUCACAGUGCUGGUGUCAGGAUACCUGAGUUCCAGCCUUGUCUUUGACAUUUAUGAGGUGUAUAAACUGGGAGGGUCACUUCAGCUCUCUGAGCCUUAGUUUUGUGUACUGUAAAGUGGGAGAAAUAAUACAUCCCUCACAAAGGCAUAAAUAGGCCAGGUGCGGUGGCUCACGCCUGUAAUCCCAGCACUUUGGGAGGCCAAAGCGGGUGGAUAACCUGAGGUCAGGAGCUCGAGACCAGCCUGGCCAACAUGGUGAAACCCCAUCUCUACUAAAAAUACAAAACCCCCAUCUCUACUAAAAAUACAAAAAUUAUCCAAGUGUGGUGACAGGCACCUGUAAUCCCAGCUACUUGGGAGGCUGACUACUCAGGAGAAUUGCUUGAACCUGGGAGGCGGAGGUUGCAGUGAGCCGAGAUCAUGCCACUGUACUCCAGCCUGGGUGACAGAGUAAGACUCCAUCUCAAAACAAACAAACAAACAAAAACAAGACAAAGGCAUAAACAAUAAACAAGAGAUUGAUUUUUUUGGUAACAGCUUUAUUGCAAUAUAAUUCAAGUACCAUAAAAUUCACCACCCCCGCUUUUUUUCGAAACAGGGUCUCACUCUGCUGUCACCCAGGCUGGAGUGCAGUGGCAUGAUCACUGCUCACUUCAGCCUCGACCUCCUAGGUUCAAGCGAUCCGCCCACCUUUGUCUCCCAAGUAGCUAGGACUAUAGGUGCACACCACCACACCCAGCUAAUUAUAAAAUUUUGUUGUGGAGACGGGCUCUCAUCACGUUGCCCACGCUGAUCACGAACCCCUGAGCUCAAACAAUCUUCCUGCCUCGGCCUUCCAAAGUGCUGGGAUUAUAGACAUGAGCCACCACACUGGGCCAAAAUUCACCCUUUUAAAGUAUGCAGUUCUGUUUUUUAGUGUAUUCACAGAGUUGUGCAACCAUCACCACUAUUUCAUAGUAGAACAUUUUUAUAACUCCUAAUGGAACCAAUACUGUUAUCAAUCACUCUCUAUCCUCCCUCCUGAGAGAUCGACUUUAAACUAUUUGGUGCUGUACCCAUUUUGCUUUGUAUAGAUAACAGUUGAUCAUUGCUACACAAUAGUCAGUAGUCUGCUCAUAAGUAAUAUCACAAUUAUUCUUCAGACUUAGUAAGAGCUGGCUUGAGAACUGUGUCAGGAGUAAGUUCGGCAGGGGAAUGGUAGAGAUGAAGAGGCUUAAAGAACAGUUUGUUUCUCUCUCAUAGAAUAAUCCAGGUAGCUCCAGGUAGCUCACAGCUCCAUCUUCCCUAGGGCACGAGCAACUUUCUCAGGAUACAAAAUGUCAGCUAGAGCUCCAGCUGUUAUAUCCUUGUUCCAGACAGCAGGAUGAAGACAGAGAUGAAGAUUGCAUGCCAUUGGCUUUUAAGGAAAGGUCUCAGAAGUUGCCACAAACACUUCUACUAACUUUUUUUUUUUUUGAGAUGGGGUCUUACCCUGUCACCUAGGCUGGAGUGCAGUGGCACGAUCUUGGCUCACUGUAACCUUCGCCUCCUGGGGUCAAGCAAUUCUCCUGCCUCAACCUCCCGAGUGUCUGGGAUUAUAGGCGCCCGCCACUACACCUGGCUAACUUUUUUUGUAUUUUUAGUACAGAUGGGGUUUCACCACGUUGGCCAGGCUGGUUUCAAACUCCUGACCUCAAAUGAUCCGCCUGCCUAAGCUUCCCAAAGUGUUAGGAUUACAGGCGUGAGCCACCAUGCCCAACCACUUCUACUAACAUCUAAUUGACCAGAACUCACUAGUAUGAUCAUAUCUAGCUGUAAGAAAGGCUGGGAAAUUUAGCCUUAUUCCAAAGAGCCAGUUAAAAAUUGGGGUUUGCAUUAUUAUGAAAGAAAAGACCAGGUAUUUGGUAGAUGUAUCAGUCAGCAAAUGCUAUAAUAAUUCUGCAUAACAAACCAUGAGCAUACAACAAUGAGCUUUUGUUUUCCUUGCCCUCAGGGCUGUGGGUUGGCUGGGAGGCUCUGCAUCAGGCUACAGGGCUGCCGGGCUUGGUGGAGGUAUACUGCACUCACACUAAUGGAGGGCACUGCAAAAUCACAUAACAAAGGGUAUGAGUGUAAAAUUCUAACACCAGAAGCGUCUGCAGAAUGAUAAACAAUGAUUCAUUUAUACAGAGGACAACCAAGAUUGCCAGGAAAUUCAAUGUCUGCAGUCUUGGUCCCCGGAGACCUCCCAGGAACCUGCUGCUGCUGCUGUCCUACAAUUCAGCUCCCAGUGUAGCUUCCAGUUCUGAUGAUCCCACUUCCCCGGUUACAGAUUAAGCUAGUCCAGCCUCUCACAUGAGCUUUUUAGGCCACAGUCCCUAGUUUCAGCCUAACCAGACACCUGCAGCCUUUUCUCUAAGGUUUUGCCAAGACAAACAGAGUAGUUCAGGAUGCCUCUAAGGGAGAAGGAAAGUGGGAAAAAUCAUUUGGGAAAAAUUCAGAGUGCAGAAGCAGCCUGCCUGAAAAGUUGCUGGAACAGACAAAAAUAAAACAACCUGGGGAAAAUAAAACAAAACAAAACUCAGGCUGGACCUGGACAGAUAAACAAACAGGAUCCCGCACAGGAGUUCUUUAUUCUUUGUCUAAUUAGCAAGCUCCCAGGAAAAAAUUUUCUCCCUUUUUCAGUCAGAUACAUGGUGAGAACUUGCACACGGAGGAGGGGGGAUUACCUAAAACAAACUCACAGUAUACAAACAAGAGAAGCUGUGCUUUGUGCUUACCUAAAAACAUACCCACAGCUGCAUGAGAUAAGGGGCGUCGCACAGACAGCCUUACUGAUAAGAGAAGUUACUCAAACUGCUACAGAGAUGAGAGGGGUUUCUCAGCUGUAACCUGGCAAUCCACUCUGACUCCUCUCUCUGCUGCAGAGAGCUUUAUUUCUUUCACUUAUUAAACUUUCCCUCCAACACCAUGUUUGUGUCUGCGUUCCUAAUUUUCUUGGACAUAGGACAAAGGACCUGGGGUACCAGUUAAGACAAAGAGAAACUGCUACAUUAAGGUGGGUUGGUGAGACUGCAACACCUCUAUGUAGGGCCAGAAGCCAUUUUCCUCUGCCCCACUUCCCCGGGGGCCAGCCAGAGUCAGACCCAUUUUUCCCGUUCAAAUUCCCCAAACACAAAAGCUUCAUCAUGCCAUUUUCUAUUACAAUUGGGCUUGAAGGUACAUCUACAAGAGAGUGAAAGCCCAGGCAACUUGUCCCUUGAGUUACAAAGAAUUCCGUUUAUCUUUCCUGGGGUAAGACUAAGUCUACAGCAGUAAAAAUUCAGCACUCAGAUUGGUUUUCAAAGGCUGACCUUUCCAUUAUUUACAUUCUUAAUGAAUCAUCCUGCUUAAUUGUAAUCAGUGGAGCUUAAGGCAAAUUUCCAAAAGGUUUGGUCAAACUUUUGGUGUAAAUAAUCUCAGUGUAUCUAUUUCAACUUUACUUAGUCCGCUUCCAUUAGUAACAUGAAGAAGCAUUUUCUUGGGUACAACCCAAAGUUAGCACCAAUUAUGAAAUCUAUUGGUUAGUUCAGCAAAUUAAACAGUUACUUUUGUUGUUGUUUUUUGAGACAGGGUUUUGUUCUGUAGCCCAGGCUAGAGAGCAGUGGUGCCAUCUCAGCUCACUGCAACCUCUGCCUCCUGAGCUCAAGUGAUCUUCCCACCUCAGCCUUCCUAGUAGCAGGGACCAUAGGCACCUGCCACCAUGCCCCGCUAAUUUUUUUUUUUAUUUAUUUUUUGUAGAGAUGGGGUUUCUCCAUGUUGCCCAGGCUGGUCUCAAACUCCUGGCCUCAAGUGAUUCACCCGCUUCAGCCUCCUAAAGUGUUGGGAUUACAAGCAUAAGCCACUGCACCCAGCCAAAAUGGUUACUUUCAGUAACAGCUGUG